This is a long non-coding RNA of Mytilus californianus (California mussel), 1442 nucleotides long. RefSeq lists it as uncharacterized. The transcript is spliced from 3 exons. The record is from RefSeq and is a predicted model, not a curated record. Lineage: Eukaryota; Metazoa; Mollusca; Bivalvia; Mytilida; Mytilidae.
GGAAGUAAUUUACACACCACGUAUCUCGCAAACAAGAAUGGCGCAGGUAUUGGCAGUCCCAGGAGAUGUUAGACAUGGAUUCGUCUACAAAACCACAUUCCACCAUGAUUUUGGACGAAUUACUGCAAUAGCGUCGACAACAACGGGAAACAUUUUAUUGUGUGACUAUGAUAAAAAGAAUCUGCUUUUAGUUGAUCCUCUUGGAAAAUACCUAAAUAAGAUUAAUUUGGAAAGUGAACCAUUUGAUGUGGCAAUUACAAGUCAAAAUAUAGGAUAUGUUACCCUACCGAGCACCAGAACUGUAUUACGAAUAGAUCCAGACCGACUGGUUGUACUACAUAAGGCAGGAAACAACGAUCAAAGUACUACCGUGACUUGUGUGUCAGCAGUACCGAAUUCUGGAAGGGACACUGAAAAUAAGGAUCCAUGCUAUCUUGGCGUAAACAUGAAUAGUUCUUCGUUCGCAUAUCCAGUCAAAAACUAUAACAUAUGCUUCACACCCGAAACUGGAAAUGUAGCUUCCUAUGGAAAGGUAAUUGACCCUCGUGUUGUAAAGUUCCAUGCGUUUAAUGCUAGAACUUUUUUUUCUUGUAUCGGUGGUCAGAGUUAUAUCAAGAUUACAAAUCCAGAUUAUGGCCUACGUGAACAUAUUGUCAACAUUAAAACUAUGGUAAUGCCAACAGGUAUAUGCUCUGAUAACAAAGAACACAUUUAUAUAAGUGGACAGGCUUCAAACAACAUACACCGGUUGACACAACAUGGAAAUGUUUUAGAUAUACCAUUGGACAGUCGACAUGGCAUCAAACAACCAGUUGCUUUAUGUUUCACCAAAAACUAUGAUACAUUAUAUAUUGUCAAUCAAUGGGGAAAAUCUGUUUUGGUUUUUGAUGUGAUUUGAUAAAUAUGGAUUAAUGCGAGUUCUUUCAAUGCUAUUAAUUUGAGAUCGGUUAUAAUUUUGAUAUAGCAGUAUAGUUAUUUUUAUUAUAACAAAUAGUAAAUCCUGCAUCACAUGUAAACAAUACCUCGACAAACGCCCGACUGUGAAAUUGUUAGUUUUGGUUUUGUUUCAUAAUAUUUGAAUGUGAAAGGAUUUUUAAUUUUCGGAAUCUCGGUAAACUAGAACUUUUGUGAUACCUUAUUUUUGGAUGGGGUAUAUUCGAAUUUGUAUAACCCCAUCGCCUAUUGUGCUUGUACCAAAUCAUGCAAUUUAUACCUUUGUUUUACGUCGUAUUUAUUAGGAGACUCAAGUGUUGAGUCAACAAAUCCGUAUUAGCUAUAAUGGCUCUUUAACACUUUCACUGUUUAUAAACUAUUAAUUAAGUUAACCAGCAAUAUACUUGUAAAUGUCAUAUGCUUGAUAUUACUUUCAAUAUAUAAUAAUCAUUUAUAUAAUUAUAUAGAAUCUGGUUUGUUUAUCAUCAUAUUAAAUCUAUAUAACCUUU